GACGAACGCUGGCGGCGUGCUUAACACAUGCAAGUCGAACGGAAAGGCCCUGCUUUUGUGGGGUGCUCGAGUGGCGAACGGGUGAGUAACACGUGAGUAACCUGCCCUUGACUUUGGGAUAACUUCAGGAAACUGGGGCUAAUACCGGAUAGGAGCUCCUGCUGCAUGGUGGGGGUUGGAAAGUUUCGGCGGUUGGGGAUGGACUCGCGGCUUAUCAGCUUGUUGGUGGGGUAGUGGCUUACCAAGGCUUUGACGGGUAGCCGGCCUGAGAGGGUGACCGGCCACAUUGGGACUGAGAUACGGCCCAGACUCCUACGGGAGGCAGCAGUGGGGAAUAUUGCACAAUGGGCGGAAGCCUGAUGCAGCAACGCCGCGUGCGGGAUGACGGCCUUCGGGUUGUAAACUGCUUUCGCCUGUGACGGAGCGUGAGUGACGGUAAUGGGUAAAGAAGCACCGGCUAACUACGUG
This 468-nucleotide ribosomal RNA is filed under the name uncultured bacterium. Its description in RNAcentral is "partial 16S ribosomal RNA". It matches the Rfam family "Bacterial small subunit ribosomal RNA", at positions 28 to 507 of the family's 1533-position model. The record is from RNAcentral.